RNAcentral lists this ribosomal RNA (497 nucleotides) under uncultured bacterium. Its description in RNAcentral is "partial 16S ribosomal RNA". It matches the Rfam family "Bacterial small subunit ribosomal RNA", at positions 28 to 507 of the family's 1533-position model. The record is from RNAcentral.
GAUGAACGCUGGCGGCGUGCCUAAUACAUGCAAGUCGAGCGAACAGACGAGGAGCUUGCUCCUCUGACGUUAGCGGCGGACGGGUGAGUAACACGUGGAUAACCUACCUAUAAGACUGGGAUAACUUCGGGAAACCGGAGCUAAUACCGGAUAAUAUAUUGAACCGCAUGGUUCAAUAGUGAAAGACGGUUUUGCUGUCACUUAUAGAUGGAUCCGCGCCGCAUUAGCUAGUUGGUAAGGUAACGGCUUACCAAGGCAACGAUGCGUAGCCGACCUGAGAGGGGGAACGGCCAAACUGGAACUGAGACACGGUCCAGACUCCUACGGGAGGCAGCAGUAGGGAAUCUUCCGCAAUGGGCGAAAGCCUGACGGAGCAACGCCGCGUGAGUGAUGAAGGUCUUCGGAUCGUAAAACUCUGUUAUUAGGGAAGAACAAAUGUGUAAGUAACUAUGCACGUCUUGACGGUACCUAAUCAGAAAGCCACGGCUAACUACGUG